This 497-nucleotide ribosomal RNA is filed under the name uncultured bacterium. Its description in RNAcentral is "partial 16S ribosomal RNA". It matches the Rfam family "Bacterial small subunit ribosomal RNA", at positions 28 to 507 of the family's 1533-position model. The record is from RNAcentral.
GACGAACGCUGGCGGCGUGCCUAAUACAUGCAAGUUGAGCGCUGAAGGUUGGUACUUGUACCAACUGGAUGAGCAGCGAACGGGUGAGUAACGCGUGGGGAAUCUGCCUUUGAGCGGGGGACAACAUUUGGAAACGAAUGCUAAUACCGCAUAAAAACUUUAAACACAAGUUUUAAGUUUGAAAGAUGCAAUUGCAUCACUCAAAGAUGAUCCCGCGUUGUAUUAGCUAGUUGGUGAGGUAAAGGCUCACCAAGGCGAUGAUACAUAGCCGACCUGAGAGGGUGAGCUGCCACAUUGGGACGGAGACACGACCCAAACUCCUACGGGUGGCAGAAGUAGGGGAUCUUCGGUAAUGGACGAAAGUCGGACCGAGCAACGCCGCGUGAGUGAAGAAGGUUUUCGGAUCGUAAGACUCUGUUGGUAGAGAAGAACGUUGGGGAGAGUGGAAAGCUCAGCAAGUGACGGUAACUACCCAGAAAGGGACGGCUAACUACGUG